CCUGAAUGAAUUUCCCGCCACAGAGACCUCUUCGCCGAACAUUAGAGAUCGCACGUGGAGGGGGAAAAGGUAUCUGAAACGAAGAAGUGGACGAUAACUCGACCGUUCCCCGGAAAUAUGGCUAUGAUCUAACAUUAAUUACAACGGCAGCUUAGGGAAAACCCCAUGCGAGGCCCGUCGGCGCUUAAGCAUUAUGGGAAAUGUAGUUUGAUGGUUUCGACCUGGUUGUAGUUUAAGAGGAGGCUAGCGGGAGGCGGAGCGAGCCGCAAAGCGGGUACUCAGGCCGCGGGGAUGGGGUGGCAAGAGGAAUUAGGAAGUCGUGGCGAGAUGGGAAGAGCAGUGCAGAACUCUCCGUGUUUCUAAACCAAUCUGCUCUUCCAUUUAGCUCGGCUGGCAUGUGGAGAGGCUAAUACUGCUUACCGGCCCCCGCUGUGAGGACCUGGAAGAUUACCCACGGUAACAGCGCUAUUAUCCGGUGAAGAUAAGAAGUGAUGAGAAAGACCAAAAGCUACCUUACUGUCACUUAAUUUCUUGGAAUACGGAUCUUUUGGUUAAACAAGCUAUGAUACAGCUUUUAAGUAGCACUAAAUGAAUGAGUCACUUUUUCCUGGGAUCUUGGAGGACUGAAGUUACAGAUCAAAUAUGACUGCUCCCUGUUUAAACCAAAGGUCACUGCUGUAAGAGCUUUAAAAGGAACCUCAGAGUCCCAGAGUCAAAGGGUAAACACAAGAGCCUGAACACCUUGUGCAAGAGGAUCCUGGGGUCCAACUCCUGCAGAAGAGAAGAGAGCAAGGUUGGCAAGAUUGGUCGAGCUUUGUGCAGGUUCAAUGACAUCUUGGCCAGUGCCCUUCAAAAUUGCCCUGAAUUAGACAAGAUGGUCGGGGUUCACCAAGGUGUGAACAGCCCUGGGAAAGGUAUGAUCAUAGGGUAGGUUGAGGCACCCGCCUGUGUUCAGGAAAUUCCUGAAAAGGUUGUGGGGAGCUGGAGGCAGCUGAAGACUACCAACAGCACUCCCUGUUGGGAGGGCAGCAUGUCUUUCAC
RNAcentral lists this long non-coding RNA (1041 nucleotides) under Neogale vison (American mink). Its description in RNAcentral is "Neovison vison (American mink) lncRNA (ENSNVIG00000019237.1)". Lineage: Eukaryota; Metazoa; Chordata; Mammalia; Carnivora; Mustelidae. The record is from RNAcentral.